GAUCUGUGAAGCAGGUGCCGUUCAGGAACGCGGUGCCCAGUGGAGAUCUUCGUGGGUUAAGAUGAUAACCAUAAACCUGAUAGUCGCAUGAGCGGCGAAAGAAAACAUCUGAGA
RNAcentral lists this non-coding RNA (114 nucleotides) under unclassified sequences. RNAcentral describes it as "drum RNA". It matches the Rfam family "drum RNA". Rfam says of the family: Firmicutes, Bacteroidetes (1 example), Proteobacteria (2 examples), Spirochaetes (2 examples). The record is from Rfam by way of RNAcentral.